AUUGAACGCUGGCGGCAGGCCUAACACAUGCAAGUCGAGCGAGCGGCGGACGGGUGAGUAAUGUAUGGGGACUGCCCGAUAGAGGGGGAUAACUCCUGGAAACGGUAGCUAAUACCGCAUACUAUCGGAUAACCCAUAUGGGAUUAGCUGGUGGGUGAUGUAAUGGCUCACCUAGGCGACGAUCCCUAGCUGGUCUGAGAGGAUGAUCAGCCACACUGGGACUGAGACACGGCCCAGACUCCUACGGAGGCAGCAGUGGGGAAUAUUGCACAAUGGGGGCAAGCCUGAUACAGCCAUGCCGCGUGUAUGAAGAAGGCCCUAGGGUUGUAAAGUACUUUCAGUCGGGAGGCGUUACCGACAGAAGAAGCACCGGCUAACUCCGUGCCAGCAGCCGCGGUAAUAC
Molecule: ribosomal RNA, 403 nt
Filed under: uncultured bacterium
Lineage: Bacteria
Description: partial 16S ribosomal RNA
Rfam family: Bacterial small subunit ribosomal RNA
Source: RNAcentral